Molecule: ribosomal RNA, 645 nt
Filed under: Desulfobulbaceae bacterium PR7_G08
Lineage: Bacteria; Pseudomonadati; Thermodesulfobacteriota; Desulfobulbia; Desulfobulbales; Desulfobulbaceae
Description: bacterial SSU rRNA
Rfam family: Bacterial small subunit ribosomal RNA
Source: RNAcentral
GUCCUGAUAUCUGGAAUAACACUCCGAAAGGUGUGCUAAUACCGGAUACGCUGAGAAAUCAGGAAAGGUGGCCUCUUCAUGAAAGCUACUGUAUCAGGAGGAGCUUGCGUACCAUUAGCUAGUUGGUGGGGUAAUGGCCUACCAAGGCAACGAUGGUUAGCGGGUCUGAGAGGAUGAUCCGCCACACUGGAACUGGAACACGGACCAGACUCCUACGGGAGGCAGCAGUGAGGAAUAUUGCGCAAUGGGGGCAACCCUGACGCAGCGACGCCGCGUGGAUGAUGAAGGCCUUCGGGUCGUAAAAUCCUGUCAGAUGGAAAGAAAUGUCAUAUGCCUAAUAUGUGUAUGAUUUGACGGUACCAUCAAAGGAAGCACCGGCUAACUCCGUGCCAGCAGCCGCGGUAAUACGGAGGGUGCAAGCGUUGUUCGGAAUUACUGGGCGUAAAGCGCGCGUAGGCGGCUUUUUAAGUCAGAUGUGAAAGUCCACGGCUCAACCGUGGAAGUGCAUUUGAUACUGGGAAGCUUGAGUACUGGAGGGGAUGGUGGAAUUCCCGGUGUAGAGGUGAAAUUCGUAGAUAUCGGGAGGAAUACCGGUGGCGAAGGCGACCAUCUGGCCAGAUACUGACGCUGAGGUGCGAAAGCGUG